RNAcentral lists this ribosomal RNA (423 nucleotides) under uncultured soil bacterium. Its description in RNAcentral is "bacterial SSU rRNA". It matches the Rfam family "Bacterial small subunit ribosomal RNA", at positions 26 to 456 of the family's 1533-position model. The record is from RNAcentral.
AGAUUGAACGCUGGCGGCAUGCCUUACACAUGCAAGUCGAACGGUAGAGUAGCAAUACUUGAGAGUGGCGAACGGGUGAGUAAUAUAUCGGAACGUGCCCAGUCGUGGGGGAUAACGUAGAGAAAUUUACGCUAAUACCGCAUACGAUCUAAGGAUGAAAGCGGGGGACCGUAAGGCCUCGCGCGAUUGGAGCGGCUGAUAUCAGAUUAGGUUGUUGGUGAGGUAAAAGCUCACCAAGCCGACGAUCUGUAGCUGGUUUGAGAGAACGACCAGCCACACUGGGACUGAGACACGGCCCAGACUCCUACGGGAGGCAGCAGUGGGGGAAUUUUGGACAAUGGGCGAAAAGCCUGAUCCAGCAAUGCCGCGUGAGUGAUGAAGGCCUUAGGGUUGUAAAGCUCUUUACCCGAGAUGAUAAUGACA